Molecule: long non-coding RNA, 694 nt
Filed under: Cyanistes caeruleus (blue tit)
Lineage: Eukaryota; Metazoa; Chordata; Aves; Passeriformes; Paridae
Description: lncRNA (ENSCCEG00000001675.1)
Source: RNAcentral
AAAAAACACUUUAUCCCCUGGUGGUAGAUGAAGAGCAGGUAAAAGAUGCAUUCCCAGCUUUUGGUUUCUGGGAACGGAGUGAGGCUCCUUCACAAAGUCAGCCACAGCCCAGAAGAGCCACGGAGAGGAGAGGCCUGACAACUUGGAGCUGUGGGACAACUUGAAGUGAUGAGGCAGUAACCCUGUACCUACAGCACCACUGAGGCGAUUCUUCUGCUGAGGUUUGCUCUGCAUCACCUCACGUGCAGCUUCCCCAGCCUGAAGUGCCUUCCCAGACAGCUCAGGCACCUGCAACAAUUCCCGUGCUGCAGUUUCUGUGUGUGUGUUCUGUUGCUGUACAUACCAUUGCAGCUCAUGGAUAGCAUUCAGCUGCACAUACCUUAAGAAGAUCCCUAAAAGCAGAGCUGAAGGCUCACCCACUCCUGGAUCCAGCCAUGAAGAGCUAUUUGGAGAGCGACAUUGCUGCGGGUUUUGAAAGGAUGAUCUGCAAGUGCAGCCGAAGCCAUCUCAUUAGAGCACCUGCCAGUCUUUAUCAGUUGUCAAAUAAAGCAGAUGGAUUUGGUCAGCAAACCUGCAGAUAAAACAUUAAAGGUUUUGUUGUGCUCUUUUUCUUUACUUUGGGCCCCACUUCAAAGCUAGUUUUUGCUUUAAAGUUCUGACUCAGUCCGAUAAAUAAAAGAAGUCUAGGUUUUCA